RNAcentral lists this ribosomal RNA (380 nucleotides) under uncultured eukaryote. RNAcentral's name for it is "partial 18S ribosomal RNA". It matches the Rfam family "Eukaryotic small subunit ribosomal RNA", at positions 592 to 976 of the family's 1831-position model. The record is from RNAcentral.
CAAUAGCGUAUAUUAAAGUUGUUGCAGUUAAAAAGCUCGUAGUUGGAUUUGUGGCGUACGGUGUGUUCCGGGCACUUGUUGUCUGAGUAACCAGCUGUUGCCAUCCUUGGGUGGAACCUGUGUGGCAUUAGGUUGUCGUGCAGGGGAUGCCCAUCAUUUACUGUGAAAAAAUUAGAGUGUUCAAAGCAGGCUUAUGCCGUUGAAUAUAUUAGCAUGGAAUAAUGAGAUAGGACUUUUUUGCUAUUUUGUUGGUUUGCGCAAAGAGGUAAUGAUUAAUAGGGACAGUUGGGGGUAUUCGUAUUCCAUUGUCAGAGGUGAAAUUCUUGGAUUUUUGGAAGACGAACUACUGCGAAAGCAUUUACCAAGGAUGUUUUCAUUAA